UGAUUGUUGGUAGCAUAAUCUCAGCUGGUAAAUCUGAGUUGACCUUUGAUCUCAAGUUACUAGCCGAGAUUAUGUUAACUUCACAC
RNAcentral lists this small RNA (86 nucleotides) under Mytilus galloprovincialis (Mediterranean mussel). The stretch from base 8 to 80 matches the Rfam family "mir-216 microRNA precursor family". The record is from RNAcentral. Lineage: Eukaryota; Metazoa; Mollusca; Bivalvia; Mytilida; Mytilidae.